Molecule: long non-coding RNA, 497 nt
Organism: Jaculus jaculus (lesser Egyptian jerboa)
Lineage: Eukaryota; Metazoa; Chordata; Mammalia; Rodentia; Dipodidae
Exons: 4
Source: RefSeq, a predicted model, not a curated record
CACAGUACCCAUUAUACAGUUGGGGAAACUAAGACUGAGGAGUUGCUGGCGCCUCCCCUAGGUCCAAAAUGCUGCCCGUCGCCCCCCCUUAACCAGUAUUGAGGAUGACGUCUUGGGACCUCACAUACUACAUAAGUGCUCUACUGGACCCUGGGACUACAGGAAGAGAAAACAGCCUUGACUUGCUGGGAGUGUCUUCCAGUUUCAACCAGAGGUAGAUCAAGUGACACAGAAGAUCAGGUGUCCUAGCCGUGAGAAAGCUGGGAAGAGCUGCCAAGACAGAGGGAAGCUGAGCGUCAAGCCCAGAGUCUCCUCCGACCUCUCGGCGAAGCCCAGGUUAGGAAGUACCACGCGAGAAACGCCCCCGCCCCCAAUAUCUCCAGGAGGUUGCGGCUCCCUUAAGAACACCCGGCGGAUCCAAGCAGGAAGGAGGCGGUGCCUAGACCUCAAACGGACGUGCGCAUAGGCCAAUAGGAGCUACUAUCUCGGCGACGAAA